AUUGAACGCUGGUGGCAUGCCUUACACAUGCAAGUCGAACGGCAGCACGGGAGCAAUCCUGGUGGCGAGUGGCGAACGGGUGAGUAAAGUAUCGGAACGUGCCCAGUCGUGGGGGAUAACGUAGCGAAAGUUACGCUAAUACCGCAUACGAUCUAUGGAUGAAAGCGGGGGAUCGAAAGACCUCGCGCGAUUGGAGCGGCCGAUAUCAGAUUAGGUAGUUGGUGGGGUAAAGGAUCAACAAGCCGACGAUCUGUAGCUGGUUUGAGAGGACGAACAGCGACACGGGGACUGAGACACUGCCCAGACUCCUACGGGAGGCAGCAGUGGGUAAUUUUGGACAAUGGGCGCAAGCCUGAUCCAGCCAUGCCGCGUGCAGGAUGAAGGCCUUCGGGUUGUAAACUGCUUUUGUACGGAACGAAAAGGUUUGACUUAAUACGUUGGACUCAUGACGGUACCGUAAGAAUAAGCACCGGCUAACUACGUGCCAGCCGCCGCAGUAA
RNAcentral lists this ribosomal RNA (500 nucleotides) under uncultured bacterium. RNAcentral's name for it is "partial 16S ribosomal RNA". It matches the Rfam family "Bacterial small subunit ribosomal RNA", at positions 30 to 523 of the family's 1533-position model. The record is from RNAcentral.